RNAcentral lists this ribosomal RNA (332 nucleotides) under uncultured bacterium. Its description in RNAcentral is "bacterial SSU rRNA". It matches the Rfam family "Bacterial small subunit ribosomal RNA", at positions 568 to 898 of the family's 1533-position model. The record is from RNAcentral.
CCUGCAGGCGGUCUCGUAAGUGGGAUGUGAAAUCUCCUGGCUUAACUGGGAGGGGUCAUUCCAUACUGCGAGGCUCGAGGGCAGAAGAGGGAAGCGGAAUUCCCGGUGUAGUGGUGAAAUGCGUAGAUAUCGGGAGGAACACCAGUGGCGAAGGCGGCUUCCUGGCCUGCUCCUGACGCUAAGAGGCGAAAGCUAGGGAGCGAACGGGAUUAGAAACCCCGGUAGUCCUAGCCAUAAACGAUGGAUACUGGGUGUCGGUGGUCCUAACCCCAUCGGUGCCGAAGCUAACGCGUUAAGUAUCCCGCCGUGGGGACUACGGCCGCAAGGUUAAA